UACAGAGACUGCAAGCGUUAUUCGGAUUCACUGGGCGUAAAGGGUGCGCAGGCGGCCAAGUGUGUGAGGCGUGAAAGCCCGGGGCUUAACCCCGGAAUUGCACCUCAAACUACAUGGCUAGAGCAUUGGAGAGGGUAGCAGAAUUCAUGGUGUAGCAGUGAAAUGCGUAGAUAUCAUGAGGAAUACCAGAGGCGAAGGCGGCUACCUGGACAAUUGCUGACGCUCAGGCACGAAAGCGUGGGGAACAAAAGGG
RNAcentral lists this ribosomal RNA (253 nucleotides) under uncultured bacterium. RNAcentral describes it as "partial 16S ribosomal RNA". It matches the Rfam family "Bacterial small subunit ribosomal RNA", at positions 524 to 776 of the family's 1533-position model. The record is from RNAcentral.